ACGCAGGGCUGGCUACACCGCGAGCCGCACCAGGACCCCACCGAGCCCGCCGAGCGCCGCGGCCCCGCACCUGCGUUCUGCACACACCGCGAGCCGGUGUCCCCAGGGCUGCGGGCGGCGUGGGGUCCGUGUCUGGCCCCCGGCGGCCCUGUGCCCGUCCCUAUCCCUGCACGUCCCGGGGCCAGCGCGGCUGUGGAAAUGGCCGUUCGCCCGCCUCGCCCAGCAGAAUGGAGGCUCUGAGCCGCCCCUUCCCGGGGCCCGGAUCCGGGGGAUUUGUGGCUGGCUUCGGCCUGAGUCUGGAGCCCACAGUGUACUGGAAGAUUCUACUCACAAUGAAAAUAGACAUCACCGUACCUGACAUUUACCGAUAAACACUAGACCUUUCUACCUUC
Molecule: long non-coding RNA, 392 nt
Organism: Suricata suricatta (meerkat)
Lineage: Eukaryota; Metazoa; Chordata; Mammalia; Carnivora; Herpestidae
Exons: 2
Source: RefSeq, a predicted model, not a curated record